Molecule: ribosomal RNA, 376 nt
Filed under: uncultured bacterium
Lineage: Bacteria
Description: bacterial SSU rRNA
Rfam family: Bacterial small subunit ribosomal RNA
Source: RNAcentral
AGCGAACGCUGGCGGCAGGCUUAACACAUGCAAGUCGAACGGGCACUUCGGUGUCAGUGGCAGACGGGUGAGUAACGCGUGGGAACAUACCUCUUGGUUCGGAACAACACAGGGAAACUUGUGCUAAUACCGGAUAAGCCCUUACGGGGAAAGAUUUAUCGCCGAGAGAUUGGCCCGCGUCUGAUUAGCUAGUUGGUGUGGUAAAAGCGCACCAAGGCGGCGAUCAGUAGCUGGCUGAGAGGAUGAUCAGCCACAUUGGGACUGAGACACGGCCCAAACUCCUACGGGAGGCAGCAGUGGGGAAUAUUGGACAAUGGGCGCAAGCCUGAUCCAGCCAUGCCGCGUGAGUGAUGAAGGCCCUAGGGUUGUAAAGCUC